GAGCGCGUAGGCGGGGUAGUAAGUCAGAUGUGAAAUCCUAUGGCUUAACCAUAGAACUGCAUUUGAAACUACUACUCUAGAGUAUGGGAGAGGUAGGUGGAAUUCUUGGUGUAGGGGUAAAAUCCGUAGAGAUCAAGAGGAAUACUCAUUGCGAAGGCGACCUGCUGGAACAUUACUGACGCUGAUGCGCGAAAGCGUGGGGAGCAAACAGGAUUAGAUACCCUGGUAGUCCACGCCCUAAACGAUGAAUGCUAGUUGUUGUGGAGCUUGUCUCUGCAGUAAUGCAGCUAACGCAUUAAGCAUUCCGCCUGGGGAGUACGGUCGCAAGAUUAAAACUCAAAGGAAUAGACGGGGACCCGCACAAGCGGUGGAGCAUGUGGUUUAAUUCGAAGAUACGCGAAGAACCUUACCUAGGCUUGACAUUGAUAGAAUCUGCUAGAGAUAGCGGAGUGCUGGCUUGCCAGAGCUUGAAAACAGGUGCUGCACGGCUGUCGUCAGCUCGUGUCGUGAGAUGUUGGGUUAAGUCCCGCAACGAGCGCAACCCUCGUCCUUAGUUGCUAACAGUUUGGCUGAGCACUCUAGGGAGACUGCCUUCGUAAGGAGGAGGAAGGUGAGGACGACGUCAAGUCAUCAUGGCCCUUACGCCUAGGGCUACACACGUGCUACAAUGGGAUGCACAAAGAGACGCAAUACCGCGAGGUGGAGCAAAUCUCAAAAACAUCUCUUAGUUCGGAUUGUAGUCUGCAACUCGACUACAUGAAGCUGGAAUCGCUAGUAAUCGUGAAUCAGCCAUGUCACGGUGAAUACGUUCCCGGGUCUUG
This 821-nucleotide ribosomal RNA is filed under the name uncultured Helicobacter sp. RNAcentral's name for it is "bacterial SSU rRNA". It matches the Rfam family "Bacterial small subunit ribosomal RNA", at positions 565 to 1383 of the family's 1533-position model. Lineage: Bacteria; Pseudomonadati; Campylobacterota; Epsilonproteobacteria; Campylobacterales; Helicobacteraceae. The record is from RNAcentral.